GAGAUGGCUCAGUCGGUGACGUGUUUGCCUUGUAAACAGGAGGACUUGAGGUCAAUCCCCAGCACCCACAUAAAAAGCUGGGUGUGUGGGCACGCCUUUGUAUUCAGCACUGACCAAGUGGACGAAAGAGCUCCCUUGGGGCUCACUGGCCAGCCAGUCUAGCCUCAUUAGUGAGCUUCAGGCCCAUGAGAGACCCUGUGUCAAAAGCAGCAGGCACUCCUGAGAAUGACACCCAGCAUCGCCCUCUGGCCGUCAUUUGAACACACACAUAAACUAGAUUUUAUUUUUUCAGAUUUAUUUUCUUGUUGCAUAGGAGUGGUUUUGCUUGCAUGCAUGUUUGUCUACCACAUGCACACCUGGUACUUACAGAGAUCAGAAGAUAGACAGCAUCAGAGUCCCUAGAACUGGACUUAUGGGUAGUUGUGAGCCACCAUGUGGGUGCUGAGAACUGAACCUGGGUCCUCUGCAAGAGCGACAAGUGCUCUUAACUGCUGAGUCAUCUUUCCAGCCCCUCAUUUAUACCCCAGCCUGAGACCCACUUCCCUUACCCACCUCCCAGCCAUCUCUGACUGUCUCCAUCCUCCUCCCCAUCCCUUCUCUCUUCCUCUCUCUAACCCAGCUGGGCUUGAACUCUCCAGCCUUCUGACUCAGCCUCCAAAUCCAGGGGUUACAGAUGUAAGCCACCACACCCGCUCUAAGAGACGGAACGGUAGGUAGGCAUUUUAAAAGCUGAAUUUACCAUUUGUUGUUAUACCAAGAAACGAGCUGUGGUUGGCUCACAAUGGAGACUGGAAGGAACCAUUUUUCCCUGUUUUUUUUUUUUUCCUUUAGAACAUGUACAGAAUUUAAUUUUAUUUAUCCACAUGACUCACUCUGGGAUCAAACAUCUUUUCUUUGUUGUGUGUUUAGAUCUCGGGUUGUUUAUUUCUUCGCUUCCUUAAUGUUUUCCUCAUGUUUAAUUUAAAUCACUCGCCUUUUAUCUUUCUCAGCAUCUCCAGCUAUUUCGUUCUUUUCUAACCUUUGUUCUCCUUCUCGCUGCAUGGAAUUUAAAAACAAUAAGUUGAGAUGUAUUUUCUUCCUCGGUGCAAAGUGAGUGGCUACUUCAGGAUUCCACACACAGCUCGCUAGUCUCCACCAAACAAAAACCUGAAGGCUUUUCCCUUAGGCUCCCAUGCAGUCUGAAGUGUGGGACAUUUGAUUAAUAAGUAAUCCUGUGCUUUGGCCCAACUCCCAGGAAGGAAAAAGGUCACAGACCAGGGAGAAGUUUGCGUAUUUCCUGGUAUUUUGGGACAUUUGCACGCAUGGAGACAGAAUAUACAGUACCAAUACUUUCAGUACCUUUCUGCAAGGCAGAAACUAUACCAAUGUGUUUGUGAAUGGCCGUGUGGUCUGGCUGGCCAUUUCUAAGCACAACUUCUUGGAACCUGUCAAGGUACCUUCUGUAUUUCUCUGUCAAACGCAAAAAUUCCUGUUUUUCACUGUCAAACUCAGAGUGGAGCGGUGUCAUCUGCAUAAAAGCGUUGACACGUUCUUUCCCACCUAACAGGGAGAGAGCAGGUGUCGAGCUCUGCUAUGUGAGAUCAUGCCUGGUCAGAACAAGUGAGGCCAGGUUUGGAGAGCAGUGGGCGGCUUGACUUUGGAGACAGCACACGUGGCCUUUCUUUAGAGGCUGUGGCGGUGGCUCAGUGGGUAACACUUGCCUUGCAAUCAUGAGGGCUUGCAGAACUCAAGUUGAAAGCUUGGGGUUGGCAACCACUUGUAAUCCCAGCUCUGGAGAGGCAGACACUGGAUCUCUGCCAUUCCUUGGCCGACACCCAUCGUUGGCCUCUGAUGUCUACAUGCAUGUACACAUGUAUUUGAGCAUGUCUACAUACCACCCCCCCCCCAACACACACAGGAAUUUCCUUCAGCAAAUUCCUAGCUGACUACUUUGGCAAUUGGUAUCCUCUGUUGUCUGUUUUAUCUGGGUGUGAAUUUCUUUUAAUAUAUUUAACUUCUCUAGUGGGAUUAAGGUACCUUGCU
RNAcentral lists this long non-coding RNA (2022 nucleotides) under Mus musculus (house mouse). RNAcentral's name for it is "long non-coding RNA chr9:70270134-70272156". Lineage: Eukaryota; Metazoa; Chordata; Mammalia; Rodentia; Muridae. The record is from RNAcentral.